UAGGUUAAAUGGUAAAAUAUUAUGUAUGUGUAGAAAAUAUUUCAGUAGAGGAACUAGCAACAGUAUACUGAAGUAAAGGGAAGGUUGAAGGCAGGCAAAUAUAUAAUCCUGGUGUCUUUCUGAGAAGAAGGCCAAUGUUUACUGAAAGGGAUGUGUUGUUGAAAAAAGACUUUAAAAUUUAAAUAAUCCACCCUAGUAUUUACAUUAGAAAUUGAUCACAAGUACAAAUCCCUUGAACAAAUGGUCUUUAUAACAUCAGAGAAUAAGCCUUAUUCUUCUCCCUCCACUGGCUAUAAAAUGUAUUUUAUGGGACCUGUUCUUCUCCUAAUACUAAGUGGAAUUUCAUGUUGCACUACUUUCUGUUGACUUUCAAAAGAAAAAUAAAAGCCCUCUGGUCACAUUAGUCUCACAAAAAUGACUUUGAACUUCAUUUAAACUGAAGCUUCUUUCCUCCCACUACAACAUAUCCAAAUCUUCCAGGUGGGAAAAAGGGUUCAGGUGGUUUGUUUAUGCUCUACUCUAGCUUCUCCUGGCCUCUCUCCCUAGCCCCACUCCAGCUCUUCCCACAGAGUGAAGCAAGGCUGCUUCUGUGUCCUCCGGAGUUGAAACUUGGUGUGGGAAGUUAAGGAGGCAGAAAUGGAAAUGUUUCUAAGGAGAUACAGGCCAAGAAUGAUUUAGAUGUAUGUGUGGGCCUAGAGGAAUGUUCAUGGUACACAGUUGAAUGAAUACAGCAACAAGGGCUCCUGUAUAUUCUAUUGAAGCAACUCAAGGUGGGUUCCUGGGAUGGCUCCUAGAUGGCAGCUAGUCACCAGAAAGACCAAGCCAUGAUUAGAAGCUUGGAAUUUUCAGCCUUACCUCCCUCCUCAUCUUCCAGUGUGGGGUGAGAGGCUAGGAAUAGACUUAAUAAUUGAUCAUGUCUAUGUGAGGAACCCUCCACAAAAUCCCAAUAGUAGUGGGCCCAGAGAACAUCCAGGUUGGAGAACACACCCUUAUACCAGGAGGGUGACAUACUACAUCUCCACAGGGACAGAAGCACCUGCACUUAAGAUCCUCCCAGACCUUGCCAUAUGUAUAUCCUCAUCUGGCUAUUCAUCUGUGUUCUUUAUCAUAUCAUUUAAUAAACUUGUAAAUGUAAAUAA
Molecule: long non-coding RNA, 1139 nt
Organism: Herpailurus yagouaroundi (jaguarundi)
Lineage: Eukaryota; Metazoa; Chordata; Mammalia; Carnivora; Felidae
Exons: 3
Source: RefSeq, a predicted model, not a curated record